RNAcentral lists this RNase P RNA (642 nucleotides) under Candidatus Terrybacteria bacterium RIFCSPHIGHO2_01_FULL_58_15. Its description in RNAcentral is "RNase P RNA component class A". It matches the Rfam family "Bacterial RNase P class A". From Rfam's summary of the family: Ribonuclease P (RNase P) is a ubiquitous endoribonuclease, found in archaea, bacteria and eukarya as well as chloroplasts and mitochondria. Its best characterised activity is the generation of mature 5'-ends of tRNAs by cleaving the 5'-leader elements of precursor-tRNAs. Lineage: Bacteria; Candidatus Terryibacteriota. The record is from RNAcentral.
CCGGCGUACCAGGCGGCGAGGCCUGCGUUUGACAACGCGGUCAGGAAAGUCCGAACACUACCCGAUGCUUCGCAUCGAGAAUCUCUCACCUCGAGCUUCUAUGCCCUAGAACGCCGCCGUUUUAGGAUUUAGAGAUUUGGGUUUAGGGUUUCCCGCUGCGGAGCAGCGGGUGUGGGGAGUGGGUAACGCCCACCGCCCCGGUGUUUUACACCGGGGUAGGGAGAGUGCCACAGAGACCAUACCGCCAAUUUUGCUCGCGAGUAGCGCGACGUGCAAAAUUGAGCGUCCCGAGAAGCGAAGCGACGAGGGGCCUCCGGAAGGAAAUCCUUCGACUUCGCUCAGGGUGCUCGAUUUCGCAGCCGCGCUGCGCGCGGGCGAAAUCGGCAAGGGUGAAAAGAGAUGGGCCCGCCUUCGUGCGGGAUACCCCGUCGCACUGCGGCGGGUAAAGUAAGAGCCCACAGCGGCUCCGGGCAACCGGAGUCGGUGGAAAACCCUCCCCGGUGCAAGGUCCGUGUCUCGAUAUCUAUCGGGAAGUGGCCGCAGAGAAUCCGACAGCAAUGUCGGGUCAAGAGAGAUAACCGCCCCUGCGGGAACUGGGAAUUCCGGCAGCGACAGAAUUCGGCUUAUCGGUACGCCGCGCCU